UACGGAGGGUGCGAGCGUUGUCCGGAAUCACUGGGCGUAAAGGGCGCGUAGGUGGCGCGGGAAGUCAUCGGUGAAAGCUCAGGGCUCAACCCUGAGUCGGCCGGUGAUACUCCCGUGCUUGAGUGUGGUAGAGGCCAAUGGAAUUCCGGGUGUAGCGGUGGAAUGCGUAGAGAUCCGGAAGAACACCGGUGGCGAAGGCGGUUGGCUGGGCCACAACUGACACUGAUGCGCGACAGCGUGGGGAGCAAACAGG
Molecule: ribosomal RNA, 253 nt
Filed under: uncultured bacterium
Lineage: Bacteria
Description: partial 16S ribosomal RNA
Rfam family: Bacterial small subunit ribosomal RNA
Source: RNAcentral